This 468-nucleotide ribosomal RNA is filed under the name uncultured bacterium. RNAcentral's name for it is "partial 16S ribosomal RNA". It matches the Rfam family "Bacterial small subunit ribosomal RNA", at positions 28 to 507 of the family's 1533-position model. The record is from RNAcentral.
GACGAACGCUGGCGGCGUGCUUAACACAUGCAAGUCGAACGGAAAGGCCCUGCUUUUGUGGGGUGCUCGAGUGGCGAACGGGUGAGUAACACGUGAGUAACCUGCCCUUGACUUUGGGAUAACUUCAGGAAACUGGGGCUAAUACCGGAUAGGAGCUCCUGCUGCAUGGUGGGGGUUGGAAAGUUUCGGCGGUUGGGGCUGGACUCGCGGCUUAUCCGCUUGUUGGUGGGGUAGUGGCUUACCAAGGCUUUGACGGGUAGCCGGCCUGGGAGGGUGACCGGGCACAUUGGGACUGAGAUACGGCCCAGACUCCUACGGGAGGCAGCAGUGGGGAAUAUUGCACAAUGGGCGGAAGCCUGAGGCAGCAACGCCGCGUGCGGGAUGACGGCCUUCGGGUUGUAAACCGCUUUCGCCUGUGACGAAGCGUGAGUGACGGUAAUGGGUAAAGAAGCACCGGCUAACUACGUG